GAUGAACGCUGGCGGCGUGCCUAAUACAUGCAAGUCGAGCGAACAGACGAGGAGCUUGCUCCUCUGACGUUAGCGGCGGACGGGUGAGUAACACGUGGAUAACCUACCUAUAAGACUGGGAUAACUUCUGGAAACCGGAGCUAAUACCGGAUAAUAUAUUGAACCGCAUGGUUCAAUAGUGAAAGACGGUUUUGCUGUCACUUAUAGAUGGAUCCGCGCCGCAUUAGCUAGUUGGUAAGGUAACGGCUUACCAAGGCAACGAUGCGUAGCCGACCUGAGAGGGUGAUCGGCAACACUGGAACUGAGACACGGUCCAGACUCCUACGGGAGGCAGCAGUAGGGAAUCUUCCGCAAUGGGCGAAAGCCUGACGGAGCAACGCCGCGUGAGUGAUGAAGGUCUUCGGAUCGUAAAACUCUGUUAUUAGGGAAGAACAAAUGUGUAAGUAACUAUGCACGUCUUGACGGUACCUAAUCAGAAAGCCACGGCUAACUACGUG
Molecule: ribosomal RNA, 497 nt
Filed under: uncultured bacterium
Lineage: Bacteria
Description: partial 16S ribosomal RNA
Rfam family: Bacterial small subunit ribosomal RNA
Source: RNAcentral